Molecule: ribosomal RNA, 494 nt
Filed under: uncultured bacterium
Lineage: Bacteria
Description: partial 16S ribosomal RNA
Rfam family: Bacterial small subunit ribosomal RNA
Source: RNAcentral
GACGAACGCUGGCGGCGUGCUUAACACAUGCAAGUCGAACGGAAAGGCCUGCUUUUUCUUGUGGAUUGCGGGUACUCGAGUGGCGAACGGGCGAGUAACACGUGAGUGAUUUGCCCCCAACUUGGGUAUAAGCACGGGAAACUGUGUCUAAUUCCCGAUAGGACUGCAGGGUGGUGCCUGUGGUGGAAAACGUUCUUCUAGUGAUUGGGGAUGAGCUCGCGGCCUAUCAGCUUGUUGGUGGGGUAAUGGCCUACGAAGGCGGCGACGGGUAGCCAGAGUGAGAGGGUGGACGGCGACAGUGAGACUGGGACACGGCCCCGACUCCUGCGGGAGGCAGCAAUUGGGACUAUUGGACGGAGAGCGGAAGCCUGAAGCAGCGACGCCGCGUGGAGGAUGACGGCCUGCGAGUUGUAAGCUCCUUUCGAACACGAGGAAGCCACCUGGUUGGGAAGGUGGUGACGGUAGUGGUAGAAGAAGCACCGGCUAACUACGUG